AUGGCUGUCAUGGAGGCCAGCAUCUUCAGGAGGCCCUACUACCUGUCACACUUCCUCCCCGCCCUGCUCACACCGAGAGUGCUCCCAGAGGUUCCUGACUCCCGGGUGACCUUUAUAGAGACUCUGAAGAGGUAAGCAGGAGCUUGC
Molecule: non-coding RNA, 147 nt
Organism: Peromyscus maniculatus bairdii (prairie deer mouse)
Lineage: Eukaryota; Metazoa; Chordata; Mammalia; Rodentia; Cricetidae
Source: RefSeq, a predicted model, not a curated record